CAAAUAUGAGAGGAGAUUGAGUGAUCAGAUCCUAUUUUCCUCACAGACUACCUUUGUUCGACUCUUUCCCCUCUCCUCUAUCCCACCCUAUAAGAACCAAGAUUCAAUUUUUGCCAUUCUACUCCAAAUCGAACCCCAAAUGGAAAACCUAGCAUGCCUUCUCCUCUUUUGAUUUUGAAUGAAAUCGGCCACCGAUUGACCUUGAAACCUACGUCAAUCGAUAGAUCUCUUUGAGGUCUAUGUAUUGAAGAAGGAUUCAUGUUAUUUCGCGGUGGCCAACGCUCGGUCAAACCUCGGUUGACUUGCUAAGAGUCGCUGAAAUUUCUCUUUCUUCUAUACAUCCGGCUCACAGUAGUUAUCAUGGUAUAUACAACUAGCUAAACUGUAAAGAUUCCAAGCAAGUGGUCAUGUAACGAUAACCACUGUUGGCUGAAAUUUUCUUUGCCAGUCAGUUUGAACAUCCACAUGUAAUGCUUAGGUCAUUUUCCUCUUUAAUUUUUCCUGCCCUUAUUUGUUCUCACAUGCCAAUAUUAGUCCUCCAAUUUUGUUUUAUUAGGGUUUCUGUGUCAUCCUGCGAUUGCAUGUUAUAACGAUUAUGAUAUUUAGUUGCUUAAAAUUAAUUGCAUGAUUCAAUUCGACAUUGUUAAUUAAAGUAGUUGAUUUCUCUUUGUUGUUAAAAAUAUGGUUAACUAUAAACAUUUUAUGCUUUGAUUUUUUUUAACUUGUUAAUAGGCAUGUUGCAGCUUGGGGUCUGUUUAAUUAGUCGAGCUUUGAAUUUUUGGUUCGAGUACUUGAGGUAUACGGGCCUGUCAGUUGGGCCACUAACAUGCCCCCAACUUGUAUUUUACUAGGCUUUGACCCUGUAGGUGGUCUAUAGGAUUUGACCCAAGCUCUUGAACCACUCUCCUAAAGAGAUAAGAUUGAGCUGAAAGAGGGUACAUACCAAGAACUGGAGGGGUAUUAGAGGAAUUUGAGCGGGGAGGAAUCUUAUAUACCAGGCAGCUACUAGGAAAGUGUGUGUGUCGGGGGGAGGGUUGUAAAGAUCCGACCGGUUGUUUUGAGCAUUUGCAUUCAAUUUGGUGGUUUGAGGGCAUGCGUAGCUUCAUAUGGUGUAUUAUGACUUGCAUGUAACGUCGGUUUUGGUUUCCGAGUGAUUUAGGAUUGAUUUGGAAGAAUGAUUCUUAUUUUGGAAGCUUUAAGUUGGAAGAGUUGAUCAAGUUUAACUUUGGUGUGUUUGACCUUGGAUUGAAGUUUUGAUGAUUUCAUUAGAUCCAUAUGGUGAUUUUGGACUUGGGCAUGUGCUCAGAUUUUUAUUUGGAGAUUUCUAGAAGGGUUUGGCCAUAAUUGGCGAAAGUUGGCAAUUUCAAGGUUUGGAAUAUUUAUAUGUUUGACCGGGAGCUGACUUUGAUGUUAUCGGCUCGAAUUAUUGUUAUGGGAGUUAAAAUAGAUUCUUUAUUUUAUUUGGAACUUGUGUGCAAAAUUUGAGGUCAGUCCGAGUUGAUUUGAUGAGGUUCGACACGAAUUUUAGAAGUUGAAAGUUCAAAAGUUCAUCAAAUUUUAUUUGAGGUGUGAUUCGUGAUUUUGAUGUUUUUAUGUGUAAUUUGAGGCCUCGCGUAGGUCCAUAUUAUAUUUUGUACUUGUUGGUAUGUUUAGACAGGGUCUCGAGGGGCUCGGGUGAGUUUCAGACGGGUUUCAGACCAUUUUGGGCCAUGUUAGUUCUGUUGGUUUUUGCUGCUUCAUUUUUUCUUCGAGUUUGCGUCCCUAUAUAUUCAUGUUCGUGCAAUGUUAGUGGUGGUAUUCUUUGCGUUCGCAUCCCUUUUUUCGUGUUCGCGUAGUGUUGAGCUGGGCUGGGCAGGUCAUGAUGGAUUCCUCUUCGCAUUCGCGCUGGUGUCUACGCGUUCCAUAUGGUCUGGCAGUUGUGUUUUUCGCAUUCGCGAGGGUUGCUCUACAAACACGUAGCAUUAUUUCGCAACAAUGUAUUUUGUGCAUUGCGAUCGCGAGGGUACAACUGCGAUGGCGUAGGGUACCACUGGGCAGAGCAUAUGAGUACUCUAUUUCGGACCUUGAGCUCAUUUUAUCACAUUUUGAGUUAUGGAGCUUGAAUUUGGGCAAUUUUGGAGAGGAUUUUAACCUCAUGGAUUCAGGUAAGUAUUUUUUACCUAGUUUUGAUUAUAUUCCAUGAUUCCAUCUUCGAUUUUGGCAUUUGAUUGAUGAAUUUAAAAGAGAAAUUNNNNNNNNNNNNNNNNNNNNNNNNNUUAUCAAAAUUUGUGAGUUUUUUCGGUUUUGGAAUACGAGACUAGAUUGACCUUUUGGUUGACUUUGAGUAUUUGAUUGAAAAUUCGACCCUUUUCAUUUGGGUUUGUUUUCUUUGGCAUUAAUUGAUGAUUUUGAGAUGCUUUUGGCUAAUUUCGAGCCGUUCGGAGGCUGAUUCACAUGAGAUGGCAUUUAUAGGGUAUUAUUUGGCUUGCUCGUAUUUGAUUUGUCUUGUUCGAGUUAAGUAAUAUAUCUAAACUUGGAUUUGAGGUAAUUAUCCCCGAAAACUAUGAUAUUUGAGAUGGGUUAGAGGUGACGCACGUGCUAGGUGACGAGCGUGUGUGCGUGCACUGAAAUAUAUUCAUAAUACAGGUAGUUUUAUGCUAUUAUGUGCCUUGUUUUGCUACCAUGCUUCUUUGAUAUCAUGUUUUCUCCAUUUAUAUGAUUAUGUGAGAUGGUAUUCAUGCUAGAAAUUAUGUCUAGGCCACCUGCUCAAUUAUUGAGACAUGAUAGGACUAUUUUUCCAUGUUGAGCUAAUUGCCUUAGCCGUAGUCAUAAUGUUUCAGUCAUAAUAGUUAUAUCCGCAUGUUAUAUCUCUACCUUUGUACAUUUGUUAUAUGUUAUCUCACUUGUUAUUGGUGUCUUAGUACGUGACACAGGUUGAUUUAUAAUUGAGGCAUAUUGGGGUAUUCCAUGUUAUAUGAUUGGAUUAUGUUUCUGUGAUAUAUUGAGAUAUGGAGACUUGAGCGGAUUGAUGACUGAUGUAGGCCGUAGAGCUGUGUUGUGAGUUAUGUUGGAUCGGGUUGCACACAACAACGAUUAUAUUGAUAUUGAGGCGACGCAUACACCAGGACCCACAUUGGGCUAAGUAUUACAGAUUUUGAGGCUACGCAUGCACCAGACCAUAUUAGCUUAUGAUUAGCAUUUGGGCAGGAUCCAUUCCUCCGGAGUCCGACAUAUCAGCAAUGGGCUCAAGUGCAGUGUUUUAUAUGCAUGCUUUAGUGAUGGGAAUUUAUGUCAGGCACCCAUACAGUGCUACGUGUUGCUGUGUAUGAUCGUGAGGGCCUUGGACCAGGUACUGUAAGUGUGGUAAGUGUGUUUAUUCUUGGUUGUUUCACUGUGAUGAUAUUUAGUUGACAUGUAUAUUUUUGACAUGUAGGCAUAGAUAUGUAUUUUUCUCAUGCUAGACAGUUUAUGACUUCUGAUGACUUGGCAUGUAUAUUGACAUGUAGGUAUAAGGAUGUAUAUUCCUCUUGCUAGACGGUAAUAUGAUAUUUGAUAAUUUGAAAUUUAUAUUUGACAGAUAAGCAUAGAGGUGUAUAUUUUUCAUGCUAGACGAUAUAUGAUAAUUACUGACUUGACAUGUAUACUAAUAUGUAGGCAUAAAGAUGUACUUUUCUCAUGCUAAUUGGUAAAUAGAGAUUCUUAUCUAGUGUUGUGAAUUGGAAAUAUAGAGUUAGUUUGAUAAACUCAUGCUUAGUUGAUUUUGAUGCUAAGGUUUAGACUUUGACUGUCAUACUUAAAAAGCAUAUCUAUUUUUCUGUAACUAUGACCGAGUUGAGCAUAAUAUUUUUCUGAGUUGUUACUAUUUCCGGCAUUAUCAUAUCUCAUGUUAUUAUCGAUUAUUUGAUGUUAGACUCUGACUAUCUUCCAAGCUCGUCACUGCUUUCAACCUGAGGUUAGGUUUGCUACUUAUUGAGUACAUGAGGUCGGUUGUACUCAUACUACACUUCUGCACCUUGCAUGCAUAUCUUGGUGUUGAUGCUCUGUGUAUAGCGGGAGCUGGCAUUGAAGAUGUACCUACUUUUCGGAUAUAGCUACUACUUGUCAUUGGUAGUUUUAAAACUUAAAUUUUGUUUAUAUAUAUUCCAAAUAGAUGUUGUAUUAUUUCAUACUGGCUUUGUAAAUCUAAGUCUUAGUGGCUCGUGACUUGUACUAUCAAUCCUUGAG
This 4203-nucleotide long non-coding RNA is filed under the name Nicotiana tabacum (common tobacco). RNAcentral describes it as "long non-coding RNA (NTAB_LNC005885)". Lineage: Eukaryota; Viridiplantae; Streptophyta; Magnoliopsida; Solanales; Solanaceae. The record is from RNAcentral.